This 394-nucleotide long non-coding RNA is filed under the name Panax ginseng (ginseng). RNAcentral's name for it is "long non-coding RNA (PGIN_LNC006346)". Lineage: Eukaryota; Viridiplantae; Streptophyta; Magnoliopsida; Apiales; Araliaceae. The record is from RNAcentral.
UUUUUCUCUUCAAAAAUAAUCAGAACUUUUGUAUGAAGAGAUAUAAAUUUUUUGAGAAUGUAGGCAAGGAGAGUAUGAUUUUCUUUUCACUGAAUUGGUAAAAACCAAAUGAAUGAAAUACUCCCUAUUUAUAGGAUUUUUGAAGUUGGGGUAAAAUAGUAAUUUCAAAAACUGAUUUUUGAAUGUGCGGUUAUGAUCAAUUAAUUUUGAAUUUAACGGACCAGAUCAAACGCGGAAGUUGAGCAAGAAAACCGCCUAGGCAAUUUUCUAUCUACUUCUCAUUUAUUACUUUUGACCAUGUGUUUUAUUCUAAUGCCAGCAAGCCUUACACGGAUUUCCCAAAAUGAAGUCACGGUUUUAUCAAACAUGUAGCUUACGUUUUUUUUUAACCAAG